RNAcentral lists this long non-coding RNA (4945 nucleotides) under Musa acuminata (dwarf banana). RNAcentral describes it as "long non-coding RNA (MACU_LNC006483)". The record is from RNAcentral. Lineage: Eukaryota; Viridiplantae; Streptophyta; Magnoliopsida; Zingiberales; Musaceae.
GCAGGUAAUUUUUAUCUUGCGGUUCAAAAUGUUAAAAAGUCCUAAACCAAGAAACACUACCACCACACACCAGAGAUGACACAAAAAAAAGGCUAGCAACAAAACUGAUUAACAAAAAAAACCUGAUGUUUAAAUGUUUGACUUUAUCAAAUAUCAAAAUAAACCUGAUUAAAAUUUGUAAAAUGGUUCCUCCGAAAGUUCUAGAUGCACACAUUUUUAAAUGAACUUUCUAGUUGAUGACUAAGAUUCAAGCACAACCGAACUGCUGAUUCACCCACCGAGGUGCUAUACAUUAAUGACUGCGAUCAUCAAUGCACGACUACCUUGAGGAUCACGUGCACAGAGUUCACUAUAUAUAAUCUUGACAUCAACAAGAAGCACAGAGUACAAAGAUAGCUUCUAGCAUACCAAGAUGAGCAUUAUAUUCAGCAUUCACAUAUAUUGAGCCUACCUAAGAUAUUGAUCUUAAUUACCAGAGAAACAACUUUGAUAACAGUGCUCACCUUACAUGGUUCAAGGGGAGCUAGUUCAUCCAAACUACCGCCGAAGCCUAACAGAUAACAGGUCACUUUCUGACCACCUGCCACAGUGAUGACAGCCAAACAUGAAAAAUUAUUUUAUUUACUACAAGUCACUUGUGAUUAUAUAUCAUGACAAAUAAUGGCAACAUAAAUGAGAUACUAAAUACAUUGAUAAAGAUAUUCUUUUAUAAAUAAGAUAAAACACAUUGUUUAUACAAGAACUUGCCUCAGAUAACUUUGCCAAAAGAAGACAACUAAAACAAUAUAGAAGUACCAGUAGAAACACCACAACAGGAGUUUUAAUAUAAUGCAUUCCACCACCAUCUCUUAGAAUAAAGAUCCAAUAUUCCUUCAAGUCUCAUAAAUUUUCAAUAUACCUCUUAAAUUGGAUCCCAACAGACAAUAACUACUUGGGGCCAAUAUCCUUCAGAGCACAAAUCUGUUCCUCACCCAUCGCAGACAUCACAGUAACAACCAGAUCUUUGCCCUCUGCAAACCCAUCUUUGAUCUGGCAAAAAUUAAACAUAAUUUCAGGCAAAAAAUAUUAGAUUCCCAAAAAAACCUUUUUAAUCAAAGACAAACAGAAUCGUUGUAAAAAUUUUAACAGGAUCAUAAAGCCAACAUAACACAGGCAUUUAGGUAUACAAGUAUAUCUCAGUGCAAGUGAGCAGCUUGGUGUUCAGCUCAAAUCUCAGCUUGUUCAUUAGCAACCUAAGCCAAUCCAAAUAGAACUUUCAUCUCUCAGAUGAUCCGAACAGAGAAAAAGAAACAUGUUCAUCAUCUUCAGUCCAUCAAGAGUUUAACAGAAAAUAUUUUGUGUACCCUUUAAACCUAUGGUCAAAUAAACUGUUAGGAAAGAUUAAGAUGACACGGUGGGAUUUAUAAAUGUGUUUGUAGCAAGGAUUGAAAUAUCGUAUCGUACCGGAGUUUCGACGUUCGCUCGUUACGGUACGAUACUGUAUACCGAACGGUAUACCACUCGGUAUGUAUAUAUAUAUAUAUAUAUAUAUAUAUAUAUAAUUCAAUGACGUCGUUUCUCUCUUCUCGCAAGCGGGGCGACGCCACCUCGUGUGUGUGUGUGUGUGUGUAUAUAUAUAUAUACAUAUAUAUACAUAUAUAAAUACAUACAUAUAUAUACAUAUAUAUACAUACAUAUAUAUACAUAUAUAUACAUACAUAUAUAUACAUAUAUAUAUAUAUAUAUAUCGUUCCAUCCGGUAAUGGACGGUCCAUGUACUGGUCAGUUGAUGGACCGGUAUCGCCCGUACCAAAUGGUAUUAUUCGAAAUUGCAUACCUUGACUUUGUAGUUAUAGGGUUUAUAAAACCUAAUCAUUUAUACUUUUUUUUUCCAAUGCCGCUACUUUCCUCCAUGCAAUACUCCUUCCCCACUCCAUCGACCAAUGCCUUGCCUCCUCCAUUCCUAUUCCUCUCCUCCAAGCUUCUAAUUCCCACACAUCUGCCUUCUUCCCCAAUCCUGGUAGCACCUCAUUUUACCUUCCAUAAGAAUUUAGAAGACUGAUAGAGGUAAAAUUGUGCAUCCCACACUAACUUGACAUUUGGACAUUGAAUGUCAAAAAUUAAUUGGCAUAUUGAACUCACCACAUCAGCAUCAACCACAACGGAAAGUAUUCUCCGAAUCAAGAAUGGUCAAUGGAAUACUUCCCUACAUGUAGGCAGUUAAGUACCCCUGACUACAAAUAGAUGGCCCUUUGACAAUAGCCCAAGUUCUUCUCUCUCGUCAUUCUCCCUACCCUCUAUCCAAACAAACCCACUGAUUUAGGCAUUGGAGGGACCGACCCAUGGGUACACCCGACACUGUUCUUUUGUUGCAAGAACAAAGGCUCAUGGAGACUUGGUUGGACUUCACGGAUCCUCAUCCUCCAUCCACCAUCAUUCCUCCAGACACACAAAGGGCAAUCCUAGUUCCAGCAUCAAUCUCCGGCUUGGAACCUCUCUGGUUCCAGGUCGUCGACUGACCAUAAGACUAACAAUGACUUGAAAAACUGUUGUGAAAGUUAUGAAGAAUCCAGUCUAACAUUCAUUGCAAACUAAUGCAUCCUUAAAGCAAGUGCGUUCACACCAAUAACAAACAUACACAGAUUGAACUCCAGACCAAGUUGAUCACAAAUUCCUGUGCAAUAACAGAAUAAUAAGCUAGCAAUUUUUUUUAACAUACAUUCUCAAACUCAAAUAGUCAGCAGAAAUAUAAUAAGGGAUCCUUGCUGCAAUGCAAAGCCCAUAAAGGGAGCAAAUAUAGAUGAUGUGUUAACACAUAAGCUUCACCAAUUCAGAUAACAUAAAGAACUUCCAGCUAUUCUGAGCCAAGAGCAAAUUUUGUAACUACCAACAUAAAGGUGUUGAUACUACAGAUAGGGCAAGCAAUGCAAGCAUCCAGAAUAGUGCAAAAUGUCUGGAUUCUAACUAAAUGUCACAAAAAAUUUAUAUGAUAUUUUGAGAUAAUUUAAAUCAGAUUACCAUGAUGGACCAGCAACCAAUGACUUUGAUUUUGUACAUAAAGCAUGAAAGAUCAUCACACUAUGGACAAAAAAGCAUUCUUUUAUAUAUUUAGUUUAUAAUUAUAGUGAUCAUUGAUUGUCUAUUUAACAACAGAAGCCUUCAUGGAAAAAGAAUCCCUUUCUUUUCCCCUGUUGGUACCACUGAAAGGAAAUUAAUAAUGAUGAGGACUUAUACAUGUCAAAAAGUUACUCAUGAUAUUCAUCAUGUCAUUAAUCAUGGAUGUCGUCAUGUCAAACUGUAUACAUAAUUAGCAUAAUCAAUAAUAUCUAACUAACUAUAUUUCCACCAUCAUGUAAUUGCUUGUAGAGUGCAAGUUGUUUGUUUUCUGUUUAAAACAUUUACUGUGUGCUUCUUAGUCAAGACUACUGUCCUUUAAAACAUAAAUGACAUUCAAAAAGGUCAUUACUUACUAAAAACUCUGGAUACUAUAAGUUAAAUUUCUUUAUCCCAACUUAGAUCAGAUUUUUAAAAAAUUAAAAAUGGCAAAGAAAAUAAAUCUUCAUCACCAACCUGAGCUAACAAAGUUUCAUCAGUCGGGAGUCUCAAAUCAUCUUUGGUGUUACCAUUUUCAGUCAGAAGGCUCACCUAACAUACACAACCAAAUAGUUAUGAGAAAACCACCAAUUAAGAAAGAAACAUUAUAUGAAAACAUAUAACAACAUACAAAUCCAUCUUCAGAAAUGUCAAUCAGUUGAUAAUCAGUUCGAGUGACAUGUGGAACCUGCAGAUAAACCAAACAAAUUCAAAUACAUACAUACAAAUGCAAAUUAACACAUAUAAAUAUAAUAUAUCAAGAAACAUACAUCACAGUUGUGAGAAGAUGGCACAAUAUCCUCAAGCUUUUUUGCAUUGAAGAUAUCUAUGGCAACAAAGUGACAUUUUGCAUGACCAUGCUUCCCAGUCUUGGAGGUUGACACUUCAACAACCUAUAAAACAAUGAGAGAAUGAAGCAGUUUAUAAUCACAAUAACAAGUAAAGUGAACUACUAUACAGCCAUAAAUAGCAUGUACGAUUGAACAACAAAUAUGGUGCAUUAUUCCAGAGACACAAAUCAUGUAGAUGAUCCAGGUGUACAUCAUAUAUCACGACAUGGAUGACCUUUAGAGCAAAAUAUCCAAAAAAUUCUGCAGGCCUCAGAAUACCUAAAAAAAAGAAACACAUUUAUACCUAAGAAAAGAAGUACAACCGUGGAACAAAAAGAAUUCCACAAGGUAAGGAGACGAUAAGGUUGCAUACUUCACCAAAAAACUCAGGAAAGAUAAAUCCUGUGAGUUAGCACUACUAGUUUUCCUCGACUGUUAGUCCAUGUCGGAUGAGGAGGAUUGCACGAGUUUUUGUUCUUCCAAUAUGUACAAGAAUUAGGAUUUUCUUCACUUCGUGGAAGUGCAAUGUGUGUAACUGCGCUCAGAUUGGAUUAAAAGUGUUCAUAAAGAAACUGUGAACAGGAAUUUCUCCAGAUCCUGUCAUCCAUCAAUUCUUCGUUGACAUACAUUCCACUACCUUCAAUCGAUAGCCACUACAUGCCCAGAAGAUAUGAACCAAGACCGUGCAAAUUCCACCUUGAACCAUCACAACAACAUCUCAAUUGAUGUUCCAUAGUUGCAUAUUGCAGAAAAAAAUUGGAAACUCACCAGAAACAUUGGAUAAAAGAAGAUUAAAGCCCAAGAGAUCCCGAUCAAAACCGAAAUAGCCCAGAAAAGAGACGAUCAUGAGAUAGAUUCCAAGGUAUAUACGACAGAUCACCAAAACUAUAUAUCCAGAAAUGCAUCAAAGGAGAGCAGAGGUUGUGAGGAGUGGAUCAGGAACCUUGCAGGGCCUGUUCUUGAUGACGAUGUACCCGUUCUUGCGGAUCGUUCCAGCCUGCUGCGGGUAGGUCUUGGACGCUCCGGCAUCGGCCUUCGACUCG